CAAGCUCAAGCUCGUCGUGUCGAAUAUGGGUAUGAUGACUUUCUAGAUUUGUGCUUUUUGUAAACAGUGGUGUGAGAAUUAGCUGCUUAUAUCACAAAAGAUUCUUAAGACUCUACAAGAAUUAAGCUGUAGAAGAUAAUACAAUGAUAUAUCAGAGAGAAUUUGAAUUAAUAUCAAGAUUGUAGAAUGUAGAGAUCAGAUUAAAACAGAAUUAUCCACUGAUCUCUAGAAGAUUGAGCCAGCUGCUAUCUAUAUACACAGUAUCAUAAACAGAUUAAACUUGCUAUAAUGUAGAUGGUAUAUUCCUUUUUUUAUGAAGGAUAAUCAGAGGGAGUGGUACGUAAUGUGCGGUUGUAUUGUAUUCUUUUCCCGCUUUUCUAUUGUCACGAUCUAUCCUCCUGCUUUAUCACUUGGGACGAAAUACGAAAUUGCUGCGAUUUUAGGUGCUUGGUGAAUACGAAACAACUAGUUGGCCUGGAACACACACAAUCACGGUAGGUUUGGAAAAACCAGUUGAACUCUUAUCAGGGACACCAUUCUCUUCAAGUGGGUGGAAAAAAACUAGAGAGAAGGAAGUUCGGUUGCGCAAUCACCCAGUUUGCUUCACGGGAUGAGUGGGACGGAGAGGUACCGGAGCCGGCAAGACUGAGACUGAGUUGACUGGUCGUUAGGAGGAAGGACAGGACUGAAAAUAACGAAUUCCCCAUUCAAUUGGUGGGCCGUGGGUAGUAGUAUCAAUUCGUGAAAGCUAGUGAUUUUUGGCAGGUCAAUGGUCGCGUUGGGGGAUAUGAGGACACCUUCCCUCAAGUCCAGUCCAAUGCAUAUGAAGAAUAGACAGCUAUUUCUUACCGAUAGUUGA
This 859-nucleotide small RNA is filed under the name Histoplasma ohiense. RNAcentral describes it as "hypothetical lncRNA". The record is from RNAcentral. Lineage: Eukaryota; Fungi; Ascomycota; Eurotiomycetes; Onygenales; Ajellomycetaceae.